GACGAACGCUGGCGGCGCGCUUAACACAUGCAAGUCGAACGCUGAAGCUCAGCUUGCUGGGUGGAUGAGUGGCGAACGGGUGAGUAACACGUGAGUAACCUGCCCUCUUCUUUGGGAUAACGCCCGGAAACGGGUGCUAAUACUGGAUAUUCACUGAUCUUCGCAUGGGGGUUGGUGGAAAGGUUUUUUCUGGUGGGGGAUGGGCUCGCGGCCUAUCAGCUUGUUGGUGGGGUGAUGGCCUACCAAGGCUUUGACGGGUAGCCGGCCUGAGAGGGUGACCGGUCACAUUGGGACUGAGAUACGGCCCAGACUCCUACGGGAGGCAGCAGUGGGGAAUAUUGCACAAUGGGCGAAAGCCUGAUGCAGCGACGCCGCGUGAGGGAUGGAGGCCUUCGGGUUGUAAACCUCUUUCGCUCAUGGUCAAGCCGCAACGCAUGGUUGUGGUGAGGGUAGUGGGUAAAGAAGCGCCGGCUAACUACGUGCCAGCAGCCGCGGUAAUACGUAGGGCGCGAGCGUUGUCCGGAAUUAUUGGGCGUAAAGGGCUUGUAGGCGGUUGGUCGCGUCUGCCGUGAAAUCCUCUGGCUUAACUGGGGGCGUGCGGUGGGUACGGGCUGACUUGAGUGCGGUAGGGGAGACUGGAACUCCUGGGUGUAGCGGUGGAAUGCGCAGAUAUCAAGGAAGAACACCGGUGGCGUAGGCGGGUCUCUGGGCCGUUUACUGACGCUGAGGAGCGGAAAGCGUGGGGAAGCGAACAGGAUUAGGAUACCCUGGGUAGUCCAAGGGUGAAUUCCCCGGGGAAUCAAGCUUACCGAUCCCGUCCAACAUCUAAUAAAAAUCAAGGUAUCGUCUUUUGUCCCUUAUGGCGGUUAAUUAUU
RNAcentral lists this ribosomal RNA (875 nucleotides) under uncultured Actinomyces sp. RNAcentral describes it as "bacterial SSU rRNA". It matches the Rfam family "Bacterial small subunit ribosomal RNA". The record is from RNAcentral. Lineage: Bacteria; Bacillati; Actinomycetota; Actinomycetes; Actinomycetales; Actinomycetaceae.